GGAGGGUACAGCUCAAGUUGUAGAGCGCAUGCUUAGCAGGCAUGAGGCCCUGGGUUCAAUCCCCAAACCCUCCA
Molecule: non-coding RNA, 74 nt
Organism: Camelus ferus (Wild Bactrian camel)
Lineage: Eukaryota; Metazoa; Chordata; Mammalia; Artiodactyla; Camelidae
Source: Rfam